RNAcentral lists this ribosomal RNA (481 nucleotides) under uncultured bacterium. Its description in RNAcentral is "partial 16S ribosomal RNA". It matches the Rfam family "Bacterial small subunit ribosomal RNA", at positions 28 to 507 of the family's 1533-position model. The record is from RNAcentral.
GACGAACGCUGGCGACGUGCUUAACACAUGCAAGUCGAACGCUGAAGCUCAGCUUGCUGGGUGGAUGAGUGGCGAACGGGUGAGUAACACGUGAGUAACCUGCCCCCUUCUUUGGGAUAACGCCCGGAAACGGGUGCUAAUACUGGAUAUUCACUGAUCUUCGCAUGGGGGUUGGUGGAAAGGUUUUUUCUGGUGGGGGAUGGGCUCGCGGCCUAUCAGCUUGUUGGUGGGGUGAUGGCCUACCAAGGCUUUGACGGGUAGCCGGCCUGAGAGGGUGACCGGUCACAUUGGGACUGAGAUACGGCCCAGACUCCUACGGGAGGCAGCAGUGGGGAAUAUUGCACAAUGGGCGAAAGCCUGAUGCAGCGACGCCGCGUGAGGGAUGGAGGCCUUCGGGUUGUAAACCUCUUUCGCUCAUGGUCAAGCCGCAACAUUGGUUGUGGUGAGGGUAGUGGGUAAAGAAGCGCCGGCUAACUACGUG